CGCAGACGGAGAGAGUUUAGGACUGGGUCUUUGCGGGCGAGAUGUAGUUAAAUCCCAACUGGCCUACGAAGUCCCAGUUCUUGGCUCUCGAGGGCUCCG
This is a non-coding RNA of Pelobates cultripes (western spadefoot toad), 99 nucleotides long. The record is from the annotation of a GenBank genome assembly. Lineage: Eukaryota; Metazoa; Chordata; Amphibia; Anura; Pelobatidae.